RNAcentral lists this ribosomal RNA (96 nucleotides) under Vibrio parahaemolyticus. RNAcentral's name for it is "partial 16S ribosomal RNA". It matches the Rfam family "Bacterial small subunit ribosomal RNA", at positions 1 to 98 of the family's 1533-position model. RNAcentral also lists the same sequence under 1 other name. Lineage: Bacteria; Pseudomonadati; Pseudomonadota; Gammaproteobacteria; Vibrionales; Vibrionaceae. The record is from RNAcentral.
UUAAAUUGAAGAGUUUGAUCAUGGCUCAGAUUGAACGCUGGCGGCAGGCCUAACACAUGCAAGUCGAGCGGAAACGAGUUGUCUGAACCUUCGGGG